GUAAGGAAUAUUGGACAAUGGACGCAAGUCUGAUCCAGCCAUGCCGCGUGAAGGAUCAAGGUCCUCUGGAUUGUAAACUUCUUUUAUAAGGGACGAAAAAAGGCUUUUCUAAGUCGUCUGACGGUACCUUAUGAAUAAGCACCGGCUAACUCCGUGCCAGCAGCCGCGGUAAUACGGAGGGUGCAAGCGUUAUCCGGAUUCACUGGGUUUAAAGGGUGCGUAGGCGGGCAGGUAAGUCAGUGGUGAAAUCCUAGAGCUUAACUCUAGAACUGCCAUUGAUACUAUCUGUCUUGAAUAUUGUGGAGGUAAGCGGAAUAUGUCAUGUAGCGGUGAAAUGCUUAGAUAUGACAUAGAACACCUAUUGCGAAGGCAGCUUACUACGCAUAUAUUGACGCUGAGGCACGAAAGCGUGGGGAUCAAACAGGAUUAGAAACCCCAGUAGUCC
Molecule: ribosomal RNA, 445 nt
Filed under: uncultured bacterium
Lineage: Bacteria
Description: partial 16S ribosomal RNA
Rfam family: Bacterial small subunit ribosomal RNA
Source: RNAcentral